GAUGAACGCUAGCGGCAGGCUUAAUACAUGCAAGUCGAGGGGCAGCACAGAUAGCAAUAUUGGGUGGCGACCGGCAAACGGGUGCGGAACACGUACACAACCUUCCUUUUAGUGUGGGAUAGCCCAGAGAAAUUUGGAUUAAUACCACAUAGUAUAUUGGAGUGGCAUCACUUUGAUAUUAAAGAUUUAUCGCUAAAAGAUGGGUGUGCGUAUGAUUAGGUAGUUGGUAGAGGUAACGGCUCACCAAGCCUUCGAUCAUUAACUGGUGUGAGAGCACGACCAGUCACACGGGCACUGAGACACGGGCCCGACUCCUACGGGAGGCAGCAUUAAGGAAUAUUGGUUAAUGGACGGAAGCCUGAACCAGCCAUGCCGCGUGAAGGAUGACGGCCCUCUGGGUUGUAAACUUCUUUUAUGUGGGACGAAAAAGGGCCAUUUUUGGUCAACUGACGGUACCAUAGGAAUAAGCACCGGCUAACUCCGUGCCAGCCGCCGCCGUAA
RNAcentral lists this ribosomal RNA (501 nucleotides) under uncultured bacterium. Its description in RNAcentral is "partial 16S ribosomal RNA". It matches the Rfam family "Bacterial small subunit ribosomal RNA", at positions 28 to 523 of the family's 1533-position model. The record is from RNAcentral.